Molecule: ribosomal RNA, 564 nt
Filed under: uncultured bacterium
Lineage: Bacteria
Description: bacterial SSU rRNA
Rfam family: Bacterial small subunit ribosomal RNA
Source: RNAcentral
GCCGGUGUGUGAAGAAGGCCUUCGGGUUGUAAAGCACUUUUGUCAGGAACGAAACGGUGGGGGCUAAUAUCCUCUGCUAAUGACGGUACCUGAAGAAUAAGCACCGGCUAACUACGUGCCAGCAGCCGCGGUAAUACGUAGGGUGCGAGCGUUAAUCGGAAUUACUGGGCGUAAAGCGUGCGCAGGCGGUUGUGCAAGACAGAUGUGAAAUCCCCGGGCUUAACCUGGGAAUUGCAUUUGUGACUGCACGGCUAGAGCGUGUCAGAGGGGGGUAGAAUUCCACGUGUAGCAGUGAAAUGCGUAGAUAUGUGGAGGAAUACCGAUGGCGAAGGCAGCCCCCUGGGAUAACACUGACGCUCAUGCACGAAAGCGUGGGGAGCAAACAGGAUUAGAUACCCUGGUAGUCUACGCCCUAAACGAUGUCUACUAGUUGUCGGGUCUUAAUUGACUUGGUAACGCAGCUAACGCGUGAAGUAGACCGCCUGGGGAGUACGGUCGCAAGAUUAAAACUCAAAGGAAUUGACGGGGACCCGCACAAGCGGUGGAUGAUGUGGAUUAUUCGAU